GAAGGAUGGGCUCGCGUUGGAUUAGAUAGUUGGUGGGGUAACGGCCUACCAAGUCGACGAUCCAUAGCCGGACUGAGAGGUUGAACGGCCACAUUGGGACUGAGACACGGCCCAGACUCCUACGGGAGGCAGCAGUGGGGAAUAUUGCACAAUGGGGGAAACCCUGAUGCAGCAACGCCGCGUGAAGGAAGACGGUUUUCGGAUUGUAAACUUCUGUUCUUAGUGAAGAAUAAUGACGGUAGCUAAGGAGCAAGCCACGGCUAACUACGUGCCAGCAGCCGCGGUAAUACGUAGGUGGCAAGCGUUGUCCGGAAUUACUGGGUGUAAAGGGAGCGCAGGCGGGAAGCCAAGUCAGCUGUGAAAACUACGGGCUUAACUUGUAGACUGCAGUUGAAACUGGUUUUCUUGAGUGAAGUAGAGGUUGGCGGAAUUCCGAGUGUAGCGGUGAAAUGCGUAGAUAUUCGGAGGAACACCGGUGGCGAAGGCGGCCAACUGGGCUUUAACUGACGCUGAGGCUCGAAAGUGUGGGGAGCAAACAGGAUUAGAUACCCUGGUAGUCCACACUGUAAACGAUGAUAACUAGGUGUGGGGG
Molecule: ribosomal RNA, 592 nt
Filed under: uncultured bacterium
Lineage: Bacteria
Description: bacterial SSU rRNA
Rfam family: Bacterial small subunit ribosomal RNA
Source: RNAcentral